UACGGAGGGUGCGAGCGUUGUCCGGAAUCAUUGGGCGUAAAGGGCGCGUAGGUGGCCCGGUCAGUUCGUGGUGAAAGCGCGGGGCUCAACUCCGCGUCGGCCAUGAAUACUGCUGGGCUGGAGCACUGUAGAGGCAGGCGGAAUUCCGGGUGUAGCGGUGGAAUGCGUAGAGAUCCGGAAGAACACCGGUGGUGAAGACGGGUGACUGGGCUAGUUCUGACACUGAGGCACGAAAGCGUGGGGAGCGAACGGG
This 253-nucleotide ribosomal RNA is filed under the name uncultured bacterium. Its description in RNAcentral is "partial 16S ribosomal RNA". It matches the Rfam family "Bacterial small subunit ribosomal RNA", at positions 524 to 776 of the family's 1533-position model. The record is from RNAcentral.